This 380-nucleotide ribosomal RNA is filed under the name uncultured eukaryote. Its description in RNAcentral is "partial 18S ribosomal RNA". It matches the Rfam family "Eukaryotic small subunit ribosomal RNA", at positions 592 to 976 of the family's 1831-position model. The record is from RNAcentral.
CAAUAGCGUAUAUUAAAGUUGUUGCAGUUAAAAAGCUCGUAGUUGGAUUUGUGGCGUACGGUGGGUUCCGGGCACUUGUUGUCUGAGUAACUUGCUGUUGCCAUCCUUGGGUGGAACCUGUGUGGCAUUAGGUUGUCGUGCAGGGGAUGCCCAUCAUUUACUGUGAAAAAAUUAGAGUGUUCAAAGCAGGCUUAUGCCGUUGAAUAUAUUAGCAUGGAAUAAUGAGAUAGGACUUUUUUGCUAUUUUGUUGGUUUGCGCAAAGAGGUAAUGAUUAAUAGGGACAGUUGGGGGUAUUCGUAUUCCAUUGUCAGAGGUGAAAUUCUUGGAUUUUUGGAAGACGAACUACUGCGAAAGCAUUUACCAAGGAUGUUUNCAUUAA